GGUGAGAGACUUGCAUCGCAGUCUGAUGCACUGGGAAUGAUCUGAGAAAACACGUGAGCCAGCCUGCAUUCCUUGACUCAUGGAGCUCAUCGUGCAUCUUCAAACCAGCAACACUAACCCUUCCACCAUUUCAAGUUUCACUGAUGUCCCCACAAGUCUCUUUCCCUUUGUCAACUUUAGAUGACAAUAAUUCACCUAAUUUGAGAAUUAACUCUAGCUUUUAUUAUCAAAUAUAUUCUUGGUAUAAUUCUACUGAAAUGUAAAAAUCUAGAAAAAUAAAUAAAACUUCAAAAGCUUAAUGAAGGGUUCAAAAUGUAUGAUUUCUAGCAAAAUGGGAGAUAGUUGGGAUAAAAUGACCUAUAAAUAUAUUUUAAAAGGCCCAUUCUAAUUAUACUCAAUACUAAUUAAAUUUAGAACUUAGCAAUGUGUUUAUUAAAACAUGCAAAUUUACUAUUAUAAAAUUAGUAUUAUGAAUAAAGAAACUAAAUCUGUAACAUUUAACCUAAUUUAAAUUUUCUAAAUACUCUGAGUUUCUUUGAGAAACUGAUGUCUCAUUGAAAUGAAGAGAAAGAAGUUGAUGUUUUCUUUUAUGAGUGUUGACUUUGCCAAAUUGGAACAACUCUCCCA
Vicugna pacos (alpaca) is the source of this 627-nucleotide non-coding RNA. Lineage: Eukaryota; Metazoa; Chordata; Mammalia; Artiodactyla; Camelidae. The record is from RefSeq and is a predicted model, not a curated record.